CCCUUAGAUGUUCUGGGCCGCACGCGCGCUACACUGAUGCAUUCAACGAGUUUCUUCCUGGUCCGAGAGGAAUGGGUAACCUUUUGAAAGUGCAUCGUGAUAGGGAUAGACUAUUGCAAUUAUUGGUCUUCAACGAGGAAUUCCUAGUAGACGUAGGUCAUCAGACUGCAUCGAUUACGUCCCUGCCCUUUGUACACACCGCCCGUCGCUCCUACCGAUUGAAUGCUCAGGUGAGCCAUUCGGACUUUCAUCAUGCUGGUUUCCAGUUUUGAUGAAGGAAAGUCUUGCGAACCUUAUCAUUUAGAGGAAGGAGAAGUCGUAACA
This 324-nucleotide ribosomal RNA is filed under the name uncultured eukaryote. Its description in RNAcentral is "partial 18S ribosomal RNA". It matches the Rfam family "Eukaryotic small subunit ribosomal RNA", at positions 1470 to 1796 of the family's 1831-position model. The record is from RNAcentral.